UGGCUCUUACUGUCGUAACUGGUAGCAUAUUUUUCUCUUAGAUAUACAUAAAAUCAGUGCACACCCAGCCGGCAAUGAUGUCUUAGAGGUGAUGAACAACCACAGUUGUUAAAUAAAUGAAGAUUUUGAGGACAAGGUACGACUUCAAACUGCAAACUGCCAGGAGCCAAAUCAAAGAAAGGAUUUCAUAAAACCAUCAUGGGCUUGGCAAAACUUCCAGGCAGAAGUCAGAAUAUGGACAUGCCAGAGGUCUGGUGUCGAAGAGAGGUGAGCAAAAGCCAGCUGGACAGGAUGAGAGGAGCUGCCUGACAUGGACGAGUUGCCUCCCUUAAGGUGGAGCCUUGCAAUCUAAAUCAAUGAUCUAGAUGAAUUUUUAAAUGAAAAAAACACUAUUGAAAUAUUUCUAAGCAUUUGUGAAUUUAUG
RNAcentral lists this long non-coding RNA (424 nucleotides) under Pan troglodytes (chimpanzee). RNAcentral describes it as "lncRNA (ENSPTRG00000053211.1)". Lineage: Eukaryota; Metazoa; Chordata; Mammalia; Primates; Hominidae. The record is from RNAcentral.